GUGUCAGUAGCUCAGUUGGUAGAGCAAUCGCUUGUGGAGCGAUCGGUCAACGGUUCGAGUCCGUUCUGACACC
This 73-nucleotide transfer RNA is filed under the name Chloroflexota bacterium. RNAcentral describes it as "Chloroflexi bacterium tRNA-His". It matches the Rfam family "tRNA". Rfam says of the family: Transfer RNA (tRNA) molecules are approximately 80 nucleotides in length. The record is from RNAcentral. Lineage: Bacteria; Bacillati; Chloroflexota.